GGCUCUGUGGCACAAUGGAUAGCGCAUUGGACUUCUAAUUCAAAGGUUGUGGGUUCGAGUCCCACCAGAGUCA
This 73-nucleotide transfer RNA is filed under the name Callorhinchus milii (elephant shark). RNAcentral describes it as "tRNA-Arg (TCT) (tRNA-Arg-TCT-7-1)". It matches the Rfam family "tRNA". From Rfam's summary of the family: Transfer RNA (tRNA) molecules are approximately 80 nucleotides in length. Their secondary structure includes four short double-helical elements and three loops (D, anti-codon, and T loops). The record is from RNAcentral. Lineage: Eukaryota; Metazoa; Chordata; Chondrichthyes; Chimaeriformes; Callorhinchidae.